Molecule: transfer RNA, 32 nt
Filed under: Canis lupus familiaris (dog)
Lineage: Eukaryota; Metazoa; Chordata; Mammalia; Carnivora; Canidae
Description: partial tRNA-Thr
Source: RNAcentral
AAAAAUGGAGAGUAACCGCCCUCCUUAAGACU